AUUACAUUAAAUAGGCACUUUUGAAUUUUUUGCCUAUUUAAAAAAAAUAUACCAGUAAUGGCACAAGGAUAGAUGAUGUGUGGAAUCAAAUAGGUAACAACUAUAGUGAUAAUGAAAUAUUCUAAUAAUAACCAGUUUUUUAAUGUUUUGACUUAAUGGACUUAUUGUAUGAUGAUAUAUGCGACCAGUUAGAAUAGUGGACAAUGAAAUAUUCAAACAUGGAACUGACUGAAGUUAAUAGACUUAAAAUUCAGAAUUGAAACCAGCAAGUGAAUUAUUUACAACGGCCUUGGAACCAGCAAGUGAAUUAUUGACAUUUAUUUUGAUGUGACCAGUAUUCAUGUGGAUGGACAGUACUAGUGGACUAUAAACUGAUAAAUCUCACAGAAAGGCACAUCACAACUGAGUCUGAAGCUGUUACAUACAAAAGACAAGAUAUCCAGGAAAUAAGAAUUGUAUGUGAUCUAUUUAAAGAUCUUAGGACAGUAGGACCUGGAAGUACUAUAUUACCAACUUCAAGAUUAACUGAGCUUGAGAAAUUACAAAUGAACUGAUACAGAAGAAGAGACUUUGCCAUGUGGAUGAACUUGGAAACAAUUAUUGACAAACAAUAUAGUGUAUUAGUAUUCUUGUAAAAAUCAAUAGAGAAAGAGAGAGAGAGAGGAAGGAUAGGAGAGAGUCAGUUGUAAAGAUUUAUGUCUUUUUAACCAGACAUGUCUAUUACAUUAGAAUUUCAGAGGCCUACAGUUCUCCCUUAAAUGAUCAUAGUUAAUACAUGAAGUAGUUAAAGUAGAGGACUUUAGUGUGACCAGUGAGAACAAUCAAGCAGCUGCCAUUGGUUUAAAUCUCUUUUUUCGAAGAUGUUUUGGUUACAUUAGAAUAAAUCUGUGAGGAAUGACAAAAAAAAUGUAAAAAAAAUAAUUUGUGGUAUUUUGUACAGUUUCAUUAUGCAAUCUUGAAUACAUUUAUGAUUACUAUUUAUAAAGAAGUAUUAUCAUUAGAAUGAGGAUGGAAAAUGUUUAAACAUUUAUUUGAGACAGAGUUUUGCAUUAUUCCAUUAAAAUAAUUAAAUCCUUUUUGUGUGAAUGAAGGACAAACAGGGAAAACAGACAAAGCUGCUAUUCUAUGAAUUUUAAAUUGUAUUUAUUUACAUUUGAUUGAUUAGUUGAAGAUUAACUACAAGUAUUCAGCAUAGUACAAAAUUAAGGAUGCACUGCAAGUGUAUAUUAUCUUUAUAGUUAUCAUCACACUAUGUCCAAUCUAGAUGUACAACACUCUUUUUUAUAGUGUUCUGUAAAUUAAUAGGAACACCAGUUGUGAUGAAUGGGAAGACUGGCAGGCUGAGAAAUGGGUAUAAGGGGAGGGAAUACCCCUGCUUAUCUUUUCAUACUGGUUAGUUCCUUUGGUAAAGGUUUUGUACAAAUGUUGUUCAUAUCAGAUGUAUACAAUUUGAAGAGAGUUGUUAUUUGGAGCUCUGUAAAAAAAAAAAAAAAAAAAAAGAAUAGUAAUCAGAGUUCUAGAUAAUAACUGGGUGGUAUGAAAUGUGGGUUAAAUAUUUUCGGUAUAUUUACAAUGAUUUUUUUUUUUUUUAUGCAUCUGAUAUUUUUUGUGUAUAAAAUGUUUUGUUAUUUUUUACAGAA
Mytilus californianus (California mussel) is the source of this 1640-nucleotide long non-coding RNA. RefSeq lists it as uncharacterized. The transcript has 3 exons. The record is from RefSeq and is a predicted model, not a curated record. Lineage: Eukaryota; Metazoa; Mollusca; Bivalvia; Mytilida; Mytilidae.